RNAcentral lists this transfer RNA (74 nucleotides) under Brucella vulpis. Its description in RNAcentral is "tRNA-Asn". It matches the Rfam family "tRNA". Rfam says of the family: Transfer RNA (tRNA) molecules are approximately 80 nucleotides in length. Their secondary structure includes four short double-helical elements and three loops (D, anti-codon, and T loops). Further hydrogen bonds mediate the characteristic L-shaped molecular structure. tRNAs have two regions of fundamental functional importance: the anti-codon, which is responsible for specific mRNA codon recognition, and the 3' end, to which the tRNAs corresponding amino acid is attached (by aminoacyl-tRNA synthetases). tRNAs cope with the degeneracy of the genetic code in two manners: having more than one tRNA (with a specific anti-codon) for a particular amino acid; and 'wobble' base-pairing, i.e. permitting non-standard base-pairing at the 3rd anti-codon position. The record is from RNAcentral. Lineage: Bacteria; Pseudomonadati; Pseudomonadota; Alphaproteobacteria; Hyphomicrobiales; Brucellaceae.
UCCCCGGUAGCUCAGCGGUAGAGCAACCGGCUGUUAACCGGUUGGUCGCUGGUUCGAAUCCGGCCCGGGGAGCC